This 26-nucleotide non-coding RNA is filed under the name Rattus norvegicus (Norway rat). Lineage: Eukaryota; Metazoa; Chordata; Mammalia; Rodentia; Muridae. The record is from RNAcentral.
UUACAGGGCAGAAAAGAAACUCAUUU